GUCUAUUCUGGAAUCUUUAUGAGAGUUCCCUUUUAUUCAUAUUUCCUCUUUCAUUUGGAGGACUAACAAGUGAACACAUGGAUAAGUGAAGAGCAGCCACCCUGCACAAGAUCCUAAAGGCUCUCUCCCCUUCACCUCUUGAGCAGCUUCAGAAAACUCACCUCUACACAAGCUUUCCCAAGGGAAUUAGAAAACAGACAGGCCUCUCACAAGCCUGGUAGAAGAGAAAGAGCCCAGGAUUCAAAGGUAAAAUCAAGAUGCUCCAACGUUGGCAACAAACCCUGAACUCCCGUACUCCAAGUUAAGCAGGGCAUGUUUUACCCUGUGCUAAACCCUGGUUCCAUCAGAAGCCCCACUAAAAUGAGAGUGAAAGAAUGUAAAAAUUACAAACCUUCAAAUGUAAAGAAAACAAGGAGACAUUUUUUUGUGAGAACAAAAAAAUCUCAGGAGUCAGAAAGUAGUUGGAGGAAUUAA
This is a long non-coding RNA of Canis lupus familiaris (dog), 474 nucleotides long. RefSeq lists it as uncharacterized. The record is from RefSeq and is a predicted model, not a curated record. The transcript has 3 exons. NCBI's taxonomy places the organism in Eukaryota, Metazoa, Chordata, Mammalia, Carnivora, Canidae.